CCUACGGGAGGCUGCAGUGAGGAAUAUUGGUCAAUGGGCGGGAGCCUGAACCAGCCAAGUCGCGUGAGGGACGACGGUCCUAUGGAUUGUAAACCUCUUUUGUCGGGGAAUAAAGGCACCCACGGGUGGGCGGAUGAGUGUACUCGAAGAAAAAGCAUCGGCUAACUCCGUGCCAGCAGCCGCGGUAAUACGGAGGAUGCGAGCGUUAUCCGGAUUUAUUGGGUUUAAAGGGUGCGUAGGCGGACGGUAAAGUCAGCGGUAAAAAUGAGGUGCUCAACGCCGUACAGCCAUUGAAACUGGCAGUCUUGAGUGGGCGAGAGGUAUGCGGAAUGCGUGGUGUAGCGGUGAAAUGCAUAGAUAUCACGCAGAACUCCGAUUGCGAAGGCAGCAUACCGGCGCGAUACUGACGCUGAGGCGCGAAAGCGUGGGUAUCGAACAGGAUUAGAUACCCGAGUAGUC
This 459-nucleotide ribosomal RNA is filed under the name uncultured bacterium. Its description in RNAcentral is "partial 16S ribosomal RNA". It matches the Rfam family "Bacterial small subunit ribosomal RNA", at positions 338 to 795 of the family's 1533-position model. The record is from RNAcentral.